Haplochromis burtoni (Burton's mouthbrooder) is the source of this 1062-nucleotide long non-coding RNA. RefSeq lists it as uncharacterized. NCBI's taxonomy places the organism in Eukaryota, Metazoa, Chordata, Actinopteri, Cichliformes, Cichlidae. The record is from RefSeq and is a predicted model, not a curated record. The transcript is spliced from 3 exons.
UGUUGCAGUGGAGGGCUGAGGCUGAGUUCAGAGUCGGCAUGUGAGGGGGGACAGGAGAUCUUCAGGUGCAGAGUGAUGCUGAGGAACAGUGGUCAUAGCCACUGUGUCAACAACUGGUGAUUACUCUGUGCCACAGCGGCUACAUCCUGCCAGAAAACUUGAAUGAUAUCAUCCAGCCAGGCCAAAUCAUGUUGCGAGAACAUCAAAUCCAGCAGCUUUCGUACAACCAUGAGACCGAGAAUCUACAAAACCAGGUAGAUUAACAUUAUCUUGUCAUUGUUGUAAAUCGCCGCUAUAUAAAUAAUACAUAAUUGAAGAGAGUUGUACUACUACUAAUACAAUUAUUAUUACCAUAUCAGUGAAUGAGGCCCAGUGGCUCAGUAGCAGACUUUCUGAAAUAGAGGGGCCUGGGUUCGAGUCUGCUCUAGAACAUUUCUUAAUAAAGCAAGUUAACAAGUAAAAAUGAUACGCCUUGGAGAUAUCCUUUUAAAGUUGGUUUUGAUGUGACAAAAACCAACUUGUACAAGCAACAUUACAUUUUUCAUUGUUUUGUACAAUGUUUAAUGGAUUUAUUUUCAGUGCUUAGUUGUAUUUGGGAAUCAUUUGGAGAAUCUUUUACAAAACGGUGUUUUAUCUUCAGGUUUUCAUAUGACAAAAGAAAGAAGAAAAAAAGGACGACUGAUUAAUUUUUUCCAGGGUCAAUACAAUUUGGCAAUUUACUUGAGUAGAAAAUAUUAGAUUGAUAAUGGACGAAAUUGUUGGGUCUGUGUUUCCCCGCUAAUUCUAGAGACUUAUUCAUCAUGAAGAAAACAAGACAGUCGAUCGAUCGAUUAUUUGCGCAAGGGAGGCCUCGUCUGUGUCCACCAUGAAAAUGACCCCCAGAUCUGACCUCCUCCUGCUACCUUUUAUUGAGAGACAGUUCACACAAAACACGUCAGAACAAAGCCACGCCCCCUUGGUUCUAAGACAAAGCAUUUUAUGUAUAUGUGUGAACUUCUGUAAGAGUGUGUGUGUGUGUGUGUGUGUGUGUGUGUGUGUGUGUGUGUGUGUGUGUGUGUGUGU